UACGUAGGGACCGAGCGUUGUCCGGAAUCAUUGGGCGUAAAGAGCGUGUAGGCGGCUUGUUAAGUCUUGCGUGAAAUCUCGGGGCUCAACCCCGAGCGGUCGUGAGAAACUGGCAGGCUAGAGUGCGGGAGAGGAGAGUGGAAUUCCUGGUGUAGCGGUGAAAUGCGUAGAUAUCUGGAGGAACACCGGUGGCGAAGGCGGCAUUCUGGACUGUAACUGACACUGAGAGACGAAAGCCAGGGGAGCAAACGGG
This 253-nucleotide ribosomal RNA is filed under the name uncultured bacterium. RNAcentral describes it as "partial 16S ribosomal RNA". It matches the Rfam family "Bacterial small subunit ribosomal RNA", at positions 524 to 776 of the family's 1533-position model. The record is from RNAcentral.